This 253-nucleotide ribosomal RNA is filed under the name uncultured bacterium. RNAcentral's name for it is "partial 16S ribosomal RNA". It matches the Rfam family "Bacterial small subunit ribosomal RNA", at positions 524 to 776 of the family's 1533-position model. The record is from RNAcentral.
UACGAAGGGGGCUAGCGUUGCUCGGAAUGACUGGGCGUAAAGGGCGCGUAGGCGGACUGCACAGUCAGGCGUGAAAUUCCUGGGCUUAACCUGGGGACUGCGUCUGAGACGUGUGGUCUAGAGUGAGGAAGAGGGUCGUGGAAUUUCCAGUGUAGAGGUGAAAUUCGUAGAUAUUGGAAAGAACACCGGUGGCGAAGGCGGCGACCUGGUCCUUGACUGACGCUGAGGCGCGAAAGCGUGGGGAGCAAUCAGG